RNAcentral lists this transfer RNA (84 nucleotides) under Spirochaetales bacterium. RNAcentral's name for it is "tRNA-Leu". It matches the Rfam family "tRNA". From Rfam's summary of the family: Transfer RNA (tRNA) molecules are approximately 80 nucleotides in length. Their secondary structure includes four short double-helical elements and three loops (D, anti-codon, and T loops). RNAcentral also lists the same sequence under 1 other name. Lineage: Bacteria; Pseudomonadati; Spirochaetota; Spirochaetia; Spirochaetales. The record is from RNAcentral.
GCCGGCGUGGUGAAAUUGGUAGACACGAUAGACUCAAAAUCUAUUGGAGGCAACUCCAUACCGGUUCGAGUCCGGUCGCCGGUA